RNAcentral lists this long non-coding RNA (2286 nucleotides) under Sus scrofa (pig). Its description in RNAcentral is "lncRNA (ENSSSCG00015051686.1)". Lineage: Eukaryota; Metazoa; Chordata; Mammalia; Artiodactyla; Suidae. The record is from RNAcentral.
AUCAAGGAAAGACGGUGUCUGUGAAUAUGGGCUCAGCGUCGUCCCCGCCGCUGUCACUGCCACCCCUGGACACCGAGCCACUCCGGACCAGUCCCCUUUCGCAACAUAGCCUCCUGAGGGCCCUGCGAGGACUUGACACCAACAAGAGGAAGACAAAGUUAAGACCAACCGCAGGAGGACAGGCACGCGAGAGAAGCACGCUAGACCUGGAAGGGGAAGGAAAGGCGAGCCAGCUUGGAAGGACCCGGAGCCACUUCGUCCCCUUCUCAGGGGUCACAUCUGGGAGGGGCCGUGACUGUGUCUUGCCGAGCUGCCCCAGGCCAGUGCCUGGGAAAUCAUAUUAGGUGUUUCAUGAAUGAGAAACGAAUAAACACACGAUCUCAUUUGAACCUCGAUAAACCUAAUGAGGAGAUGAGGCUUCACUGCCAUCCGAGGUGUUUGCUUACUGGGGUCGGAGAAAACCACUCCUGUUCCAUUGUCUUUCUCCGGGUCCAUGGAAGCUGGCACUUUCCAGCCCCCGUGAGGUGACGCGGGGCCCUCAUUUGCUCUGGACAAAGAUGUGUGAGUGAACUUCACAAAGAAGGAAAGGCCUCGGGGCUUCCUCUGCUGCUGCAGCCCGUGCCAAGGCCCCUGCCGUGGGCCCACCUUGAGCCCCGCCCUCACUGACCUGCACGGGCCCGCAGCGCAAGCAAGGCAUGAGUGCCACGUGUGUCACAUCCAACAGGACCUGGCCCACCCACAGGGACGAAUGCGCACCCAACAGCAGCCUCCCCUGUUCUUGUCUACAGGAGCUCAGCAUCUGCCAGCUCCUCUCCAGAGGACCAGAUGCUUCGGGACAGGCUGGGUGUCUUCCAACACCAGGGGUGAAAAGGGGCGGUCUUAGCAGGUCACAGUCGCCUCAGUGCCCUCGGCCAUCCGUUCCUUAAGGAUGAGGCAUGAAAGCCAAGUCUGGCAAAGAGGGCGCUGGGGAAUUCUGCUGGGGACUGGGUGGGGCAUCUUUCCUCAAUUACAGACCUGGAGAUAAGAGCGCUUCCGUUUCAUGCUGGGGAGCCUCCCUGAGGAGGACGUGGUGCUGCUGGAACCAGCUUGUGGCCAAAAGAGCAGAGCCCAGCCCCUGAGGAGGGUGCCUGGGAAGACGAGGAGUCCUCCGAAGACUGUUUUUGUCGAGCUCUGUUGCUUGUACCGCGGAGCGUCCAAAGAGGUCAUCUCCAUUUUACGGAAGACGAAGACGACGUUCAAAGAGGGUAAACGCUUCCCCAAAGUCUCUGGGCUUUUGCGAGUAGACCUCAGGCCCGCUGACUCUGAGUCUGCCCUUGGCUCAGGGGGCGGUGACUAGCUUUUCCCUCCGUUGCCAACCCCGUGCAUUGGGGAUGGCGUCGGGGAGGGGGGUGCUGCAAAGUUUUUAAGAUCAUAUCUGGCAGGGAAAAAGGGUUUUGGUUGAUUAAUAAUUUCAUGAGUAAAAGACAGGGAAGCAGUCGACUUUUUCCCGCCAUCACUGCAGUAUGUCGUGUUAAUUCUGGAUUAAGUUUACCGGGGAGAAGUUGGGUAUGAAUUAUCAAUUGCUGACUAAGAAAUUACUCCCAAACUUAGCAGCUUAAAAACAAACCAAAGCCAGGCGUUCCCAUCGUAGCACAGCGGAAACAAAUCUGACUAGGAGCCGUGAGGUGGGGGGUUCGAUCCCCAUAUGCUGUGAGUGGGGCCCUGAAAUGACCAAAACACCCCCACAAAGCCAAUGUUUUCCAUGAGAUAAGGAGUCAUGGGUAUGGAUUAGCUCUGUGCGCUGCUGUCUCAGACUUUCUUUUUUUUAAUUUGUCUUUUUAGGGUCGCACCUGGGGCAUGUGAAAGUUCCCAGGCUAGUGGUUGAGUCGGAGCUACAGCUGCCAGCCUACACCACAGCCUCAGCCACAGCCACGCCAGACCUGAGCCACGUCUGUGGCCUACACCACAGCCACAGCCAUGCAGGAUCCUCACCCCUCGGAGAGAGGCCAGGGAUCGAAACCCGCAUCCUCCUGGACACAAGUCCGAUUUGCUUCUGCUGAGCCAGGACGGGAGCUCCUGUCCCAGACUUUCUAGCGGGGCUGCAGUCAGGCUCUCUUCUGGCCUGCAAACUAGCCUGUGCUCUGGGCUGGGGGCACCUGCUUCCAAGCUCCCCGCUGUGGUUGCUGGGAGGGUUCUGCGGCUCCUGGACUGUAAGACGCGGGGCCCCUGGUUUUCUCUACCUCCCUCUCAGGAUCUUGUGGCCUGGUUUUCAUCAGAGGGCCGGCUUUCCUUACGGUCAACGAGCAA